Molecule: ribosomal RNA, 278 nt
Filed under: uncultured bacterium
Lineage: Bacteria
Description: partial 16S ribosomal RNA
Rfam family: Bacterial small subunit ribosomal RNA
Source: RNAcentral
AAUGUACGCUGGCGGCACGCCUAACACAUGCAAGUCGAGCGAGGUACUUGUACCUAGCGGCAGACGGGUGCGUAACAUGUGGGAAUCUGCCUUUUGGUUCGGAACAACACGGGGAAACUUGUGCUAAUACCGGAUAAGUCCUAACGGAGAAAGAUUUAUCGCCGAAAGAUGAGCCCGCACUAGAUUAGCUUGCUGGUAAGGUAAAAGCUUACCAAGGCUACGAUCUAUAGCUGAUUUGAGAGGAUGAUCAGCCACACUGGGACUGAGACACGGCCCAG